UCCCGUACACCAAAAUGCACAGGCUGUGAACUCGAAGAGUAGGGCGGGACACGUGGUAUCCUGUCUGAAUAUGGGGGGACCAUCCUCCAAGGCUAAAUACUCCUGACUGACCGAUAGUGAACCAGUACCGUGAGGGAAAGGCGAAAAGAACCCCGGCGAGGGGAGUGAAAAAGAACCUGAAACCGUGUACGUACAAGCAGUGGGAGCACCUUCGGGUGUGACUGCGUACCUUUUGUAUAAUGGGUCAGCGACUUAUAUUCUGUAGCAAGGUUAACCGUAUAGGGGAGCCGCAGGGAAACCGAGUCUUAACUGGGCGUUAAGUUGCAGGGUAUAGACCCGAAACCCGGUGAUCUAGCCAUGGGCAGGUUGAAGGUUGGGUAACACUAACUGGAGGACCGAACCGACUAAUGUUGAAAAAUUAGCGGAUGACUUGUGGCUGGGGGUGAAAGGCCAAUCAAACCGGGAGAUAGCUGGUUCUCCCCGAAAGCUAUUUAGGUAGCGCCUCGUGAACUCAUCUUCGGGGGUAGAGCACUGUUUCGGCUAGGGGGUCAUCCCGACUUACCAACCCGAUGCAAACUACGAAUACCGAAGAAUGUUAUCACGGGAGACACACGGCGGGUGCUAACGUCCGUCGUGAAGAGGGAAACAACCCAGACCGCCAGCUAAGGUCCCAAAGUCAUGGUUAAGUGGGAAACGAUGUGGGAAGGCACAGACAGCCAGGAUGUUGGCUUAGAAGCAGCCAUCAUUUAAAGAAAGCGUAAUAGCUCACUGGUCGAGUCGGCCUGCGCGGAAGAUGUAACGGGGCUAAACCAUGCACCGAAGCUGCGGCAGCGACACUAUGUGUUGUUGGGUAGGGGAGCGUUCUGUAAGCCUGCGAAGGUGUGCUGUGAGGCAUGCUGGAGGUAUCAGAAGUGCGAAUGCUGACAUAAGUAACGAUAAAGCGGGUGAAAAGCCCGCUCGCCGGAAGACCAAGGGUUCCUGUCCAACGUUAAUCGGGGCAGGGUGAGUCGACCCCUAAGGCGAGGCCGAAAGGCGUAGUCGAUGGGAAACAGGUUAAUAUUCCUGUACUUGGUGUUACUGCGAAGGGGGGACGGAGAAGGCUAUGUUAGCCGGGCGACGGUUGUCCCGGUUUAAGCAUGUAGGCUGAUUGUCCAGGCAAAUCCGGAUAAUCAAGGCUGAGGUGUGAUGACGAGGCACUACGGUGCUGAAGUAACAAAUGCCCUGCUUCCAGGAAAAGCCUCUAAGCAUCAGGUAACAUCAAAUCGUACCCCAAACCGACACAGGUGGUCAGGUAGAGAAUACCAAGGCGCUUGAGAGAACUCGGGUGAAGGAACUAGGCAAAAUGGUGCCGUAACUUCGGGAGAAGGCACGCUGGUGUGUAGGUGAAGUCCCUGCGGAUGGAGCUGAGACCAGUCGAAGAUACCAGCUGGCUGCAACUGUUUAUUAAAAACACAGCACUGUGCAAACACGAAAGUGGACGUAUACGGUGUGACGCCUGCCCGGUGCCGGAAGGUUAAUUGAUGGGGUUAUCCGUAAGGAGAAGCUCUUGAUCGAAGCCCCGGUAAACGGCGGCCGUAACUAUAACGGUCCUAAGGUAGCGAAAUUCCUUGUCGGGUAAGUUCCGACCUGCACGAAUGGCGUAAUGAUGGCCAGGCUGUCUCCACCCGAGACUCAGUGAAAUUGAACUCGCUGUGAAGAUGCAGUGUACCCGCGGCAAGACGGAAAGACCCCGUGAACCUUUACUAUAGCUUGACACUGAACAUUGAGCCUUGAUGUGUAGGAUAGGUGGGAGGCUUUGAAGCGUGGACGCCAGUCUGCGUGGAGCCAACCUUGAAAUACCACCCUUUAAUGUUUGAUGUUCUAACGUUGGCCCCUGACCGGGGUUGCGGACAGUGUCUGGUGGGUAGUUUGACUGGGGCGGUCUCCUCCCAAAGCGUAACGGAGGAGCACGAAGGUUAGCUAAUCCUGGUCGGACAUCAGGAGGUUAGUGCAAUGGCAUAAGCUAGCUUGACUGCGAGCGUGACGGCGCGAGCAGGUGCGAAAGCAGGUCAUAGUGAUCCGGUGGUUCUGAAUGGAAGGGCCAUCGCUCAACGGAUAAAAGGUACUCCGGGGAUAACAGGCUGAUACCGCCCAAGAGUUCAUAUCGACGGCGGUGUUUGGCACCUCGAUGUCGGCUCAUCACAUCCUGGGGCUGAAGUAGGUCCCAAGGGUAUGGCUGUUCGCCAUUUAAAGUGGUACGCGAGCUGGGUUUAGAACGUCGUGAGACAGUUCGGUCCCUAUCUGCCGUGGGCGCUGGAGAAUUGAGGGGGGCUGCUCCUAGUACGAGAGGACCGGAGUGGACGCAUCACUGGUGUUCGGGUUGUCAUGCCAAUGGCACUGCCCGGUAGCUAAAUGCGGAAGAGAUAAGUGCUGAAAGCAUCUAAGCACGAAACUUGCCCCGAGAUGAGUUCUCCCUGAGACUUUAAGUCUCCUGAAGGAACGUUAAAGACGAUGACGUUGAUAGGCCGGGUGUGUAAGCGCAGCGAUGCGUUGAGCUAACCGGUACUAAUGAACCGUGAGGCUUAACCUU
RNAcentral lists this ribosomal RNA (2569 nucleotides) under Klebsiella pneumoniae CHS 09. RNAcentral describes it as "bacterial LSU rRNA". It matches the Rfam family "Bacterial large subunit ribosomal RNA", at positions 371 to 2925 of the family's 2925-position model. Lineage: Bacteria; Pseudomonadati; Pseudomonadota; Gammaproteobacteria; Enterobacterales; Enterobacteriaceae. The record is from RNAcentral.